GGGCGCUGGCCCAGCUGAUGACCGACGACAGGCACGCCAUGCACGGCUUCUUCGUCCCGGGCUUCCCGAAGCUCCUCAGGUUCCAGGCUCAUCACGAGCGCGUCCUCCAAAGAGCUCUCCCCGACCUGAGGAAGCACAUGGAGGAGGAGCAGAUGUGCACAGGAAUCUACACCCCGAAGUGGUUUCUCCAAUGCUUCCUCGGCC
Molecule: long non-coding RNA, 204 nt
Organism: Canis lupus familiaris (dog)
Lineage: Eukaryota; Metazoa; Chordata; Mammalia; Carnivora; Canidae
Exons: 3
Source: RefSeq, a predicted model, not a curated record